CUACGGGAGGCUGCAGUGGGGAAUAUUGCACAAUGGGCGCAAGCCUGAUGCAGCCAUGCCGCGUGUAUGAAGAAGGCCUUCGGGUUGUAAAGUACUUUCAGCGGGGAGGAAGGGAGUAAAGUUAAUACCUUUGCUCAUUGACGUUACCCGCAGAAGAAGCACCGGCUAACUCCGUGCCAGCAGCCGCGGUAAUACGGAGGGCGCAAGCGUUAAUCGGAAUUACUGGGCGUAAAGCUCACGCAGGCGGUUUGUUAAGUCAGAUGUGAAAUCCCCGGGCUCAACCUGGGAACUGCAUCUGAUACUGGCAAGCUUGAGUCUCGUAGAGGGGGGUAGAAUUCCAGGUGUAGCGGUGAGAUGCGUAGAGAUCUGGAGGAAUACCGGUGGCGAAGGCGGCCCCCUGGACGAAGACUGACGCUCAGGUGCGAAAGCGUGGGGAGCAAACAGGAUUAGAUACCCUCGUAGUC
This 464-nucleotide ribosomal RNA is filed under the name uncultured bacterium. RNAcentral describes it as "partial 16S ribosomal RNA". It matches the Rfam family "Bacterial small subunit ribosomal RNA", at positions 339 to 795 of the family's 1533-position model. The record is from RNAcentral.